GAAGGUGGCCUGUGAGGGUUGCUGGAGGUAUCAGAAGUGCGAAUGCUGACAUAAGUAACGAUAAAGCGGGUGAAAAGCCCGCUCGCCGGAAGACCAAGGGUUCCUGUCCAACGUUAAUCGGGGCAGGGUGAGUCGACCCCUAAGGCGAGGCCGAAAGGCGUAGUCGAUGGGAAACGGGUUAAUAUUCCCGUACUUGGUGUUACUGCGAAGGGGGGACGGAGAAGGCUAUGUUGGCCGGGCGACGGUUGUCCCGGUUUAAGCGUGUAGGUGUGUGUUCCAGGUAAAUCCGGUUCACUUUAACACUGAGGCGUGACGACGAGGCACUACGGUGCUGAAGCAACAAAUGCCCUGCUUCCAGGAAAAGCCUCUAAGCAUCAGGUAACAUCAAAUCGUACCCCAAACCGACACAGGUGGUCAGGUAGAGAAUACCAAGGCGCUUGAGAGAACUCGGGUGAAGGAACUAGGCAAAAUGGUGCCGUAACUUCGGGAGAAGGCACGCUGACAUGUAGGUGAAGUGAUUUACUCAUGGAGCUGAAGUCAGUCGAAGAUACCAGCUGGCUGCAACUGUUUAUUAAAAACACAGCACUGUGCAAACACGAAAGUGGACGUAUACGGUGUGACGCCUGCCCGGUGCCGGAAGGUUAAUUGAUGGGGUCAGCGCAAGCGAAGCUCCUGAUCGAAGCCCCGGUAAACGGCGGCCGUAACUAUAACGGUCCUAAGGUAGCGAAAUUCCUUGUCGGGUAAGUUCCGACCUGCACGAAUGGCGUAAUGAUGGCCAGGCUGUCUCCACCCGAGACUCAGUGAAAUUGAACUCGCUGUGAAGAUGCAGUGUACCCGCGGCAAGACGGAAAGACCCCGUGAACCUUUACUAUAGCUUGACACUGAACAUUGAGCCUUGAUGUGUAGGAUAGGUGGGAGGCUUUGAAGUGUGGACGCCAGUCUGCAUGGAGCCGACCUUGAAAUACCACCCUUUAAUGUUUGAUGUUCUAACGUGGACCCGUUAUCCGGGUUGCGGACAGUGUCUGGUGGGUAGUUUGACUGGGGCGGUCUCCUCCUAAAGAGUAACGGAGGAGCACGAAGGUUGGCUAAUCCUGGUCGGACAUCAGGAGGUUAGUGCAAUGGCAUAAGCCAGCUUGACUGCGAGCGUGACGGCGCGAGCAGGUGCGAAAGCAGGUCAUAGUGAUCCGGUGGUUCUGAAUGGAAGGGCCAUCGCUCAACGGAUAAAAGGUACUCCGGGGAUAACAGGCUGAUACCGCCCAAGAGUUCAUAUCGACGGCGGUGUUUGGCACCUCGAUGUCGGCUCAUCACAUCCUGGGGCUGAAGUAGGUCCCAAGGGUAUGGCUGUUCGCCAUUUAAAGUGGUACGCGAGCUGGGUUUAGAACGUCGUGAGACAGUUCGGUCCCUAUCUGCCGUGGGCGCUGGAGAACUGAGGGGGGCUGCUCCUAGUACGAGAGGACCGGAGUGGACGCAUCACUGGUGUUCGGGUUGUCAUGCCAAUGGCACUGCCCGGUAGCUAAAUGCGGAAGAGAUAAGUGCUGAAAGCAUCUAAGCACGAAACUUGCCCCGAGAUGAGUUCUCCCUGAGACUU
RNAcentral lists this ribosomal RNA (1588 nucleotides) under Salmonella enterica subsp. enterica serovar Saintpaul. RNAcentral describes it as "bacterial LSU rRNA". It matches the Rfam family "Bacterial large subunit ribosomal RNA", at positions 1252 to 2823 of the family's 2925-position model. Lineage: Bacteria; Pseudomonadati; Pseudomonadota; Gammaproteobacteria; Enterobacterales; Enterobacteriaceae. The record is from RNAcentral. RNAcentral also lists the same sequence under 5 other names.